UACGUAGGGUGCAAGCGUUGUCCGGAAUUAUUGGGCGUAAAGAGCUCGUAGGCGGUUUGUCGCGUCUGCUGUGAAAACUCGGGGCUCAACCCCGGGCCUGCAGUGGGUACGGGCAGACUAGAGUGCGGUAGGGGAGACUGGAAUUCCCGGUGUAGCGGUGAAAUGCGCAGAUAUCAGGAGGAACACCGGUGGCGAAGGCGGGUCUCUGGGCCGUAACUGACGCUGAGGAGCGAAAGCGUGGGGAGCGAACAGG
This 253-nucleotide ribosomal RNA is filed under the name uncultured bacterium. RNAcentral describes it as "partial 16S ribosomal RNA". It matches the Rfam family "Bacterial small subunit ribosomal RNA", at positions 524 to 776 of the family's 1533-position model. The record is from RNAcentral.